Molecule: ribosomal RNA, 415 nt
Filed under: Klebsiella pneumoniae
Lineage: Bacteria; Pseudomonadati; Pseudomonadota; Gammaproteobacteria; Enterobacterales; Enterobacteriaceae
Description: partial 23S ribosomal RNA
Rfam family: Bacterial large subunit ribosomal RNA
Source: RNAcentral
GGGUUGUGAGGUUAAGCGACUAAGCGUACACGGUGGAUGCCCUGGCAGUCAGAGGCGAUGAAGGACGUGCUAAUCUGCGAAAAGCGUCGGUAAGGUGAUAUGAACCGUUACAGCCGGCGAUGUCCGAAUGGGGAAACCCAGUGUGAUUCGUCACACUAUCGUUAACUGAAUACAUAGGUUAACGAGGCGAACCGGGGGAACUGAAACAUCUAAGUACCCCGAGGAAAAGAAAUCAACCGAGAUUCCCCCAGUAGCGGCGAGCGAACGGGGAGCAGCCCAGAGUCUGAAUCAGCUUGUGUGUUAGUGGAACGGUCUGGAAAGUCCGACGGUACAGGGUGAUAGUCCCGUACACCAAAAUGCACAGGUUGUGAACUCGAAGAGUAGGGCGGGACACGUGGUAUCCUGUCUGAAUAUG